This 253-nucleotide ribosomal RNA is filed under the name uncultured bacterium. RNAcentral's name for it is "partial 16S ribosomal RNA". It matches the Rfam family "Bacterial small subunit ribosomal RNA", at positions 524 to 776 of the family's 1533-position model. The record is from RNAcentral.
UACGUAGGGGGCAAGCGUUGUCCGGAUUUAUUGGGCGUAAAGAGCGUGUAGGCGGCCAGGUAGGUCCGUUGUGAAAACUAGAGGCUUAACCUCUAGACGUCGAUGGAAACCAUCUGGCUAGAGUCCGGAAGAGGAGAGUGGAAUUCCUGGUGUAGCGGUGAAAUGCGCAGAUAUCAGGAAGAACACCCGUGGCGAAGGCGGCUCUCUGGGACGGUACUGACGCUGAGACGCGAAAGCGUGGGGAGCGAACAGG